Molecule: ribosomal RNA, 468 nt
Filed under: uncultured bacterium
Lineage: Bacteria
Description: partial 16S ribosomal RNA
Rfam family: Bacterial small subunit ribosomal RNA
Source: RNAcentral
GACGAACGCUGGCGGCGUGCUUAACACAUGCAAGUCGAACGGAAAGGCCCUGCUUUUGUGGGGUGCUCGAGUGGCGAACGGGUGAGUAACACGUGAGUAACCUUCCCUUGACUUUGGGAUAACUUCAGGAAACUGGGGCUAAUACCGGAUAGGAGCUCCUGCUGCAUGGUGGGGGUUGGAAAGUUUCGGCGGUUGGGGAUGGACUCGCGGCUUAUCAGCUUGUUGGUGGGGUAGUGGCUUACCAAGGCUUUGACGGGUAGCCGGCCUGAGAGGGUGACCGGCCACAUUGGGACUGAGAUACGGCCGCGACUCCUACGGGAGCAAGCAGUGGGGAAGAUUGCACAAUGGGCGGAAGCCUGAUGCAGCAACGCAGCGUGCGGGAUGACGGCCUUCGGGUUGUAAACCGCUUUCGCCUGUGACGAAGCGUGAGUGACGGUAAUGGGUAAAGAAGCACCGGCUAACUACGUG